GAUGAACGCUGGCGGCGUGCCUAAUACAUGCAAGUCGAGCGAACAGAUGAGGAGCUUGCUCCUCUGACGUUAGCGGCGGACGGGUGAGUAACACGUGGAUAACCUACCUAUAAGACUGGGAUAACUUCGGGAAACCGGAGCUAAUACCGGAUAAUAUAUUGAACCGCAUGGUUCAAUAGUGAAAGACGGUUUUGCUGUCACUUAUAGAUGGAUCCGCGCCGCAUUAGCUAGUUGGUAAGGUAACGGCUUACCAAGGCAACGAUGCGUAGCCGACCUGAGAGGGUGAUCGGCCACACUGGAACUGAGACACGGUCCAGACUCCUCAGGGAGGCAGCAGUAGGGAAUCUUCCGCAAUGGGCGAAAGCCUGACGGAGCAACGCCGCGUGAGUGAUGAAGGUCUUCGGAUCGUAAAACUCUGUUAUUAGGGAAGAACAAAUGUGUAAGUAACUAUGCACGUCUUGACGGUACCUAAUCAGAAAGCCACGGCUAACUACGUG
RNAcentral lists this ribosomal RNA (497 nucleotides) under uncultured bacterium. RNAcentral's name for it is "partial 16S ribosomal RNA". It matches the Rfam family "Bacterial small subunit ribosomal RNA", at positions 28 to 507 of the family's 1533-position model. The record is from RNAcentral.